This 396-nucleotide ribosomal RNA is filed under the name uncultured bacterium. RNAcentral describes it as "bacterial SSU rRNA". It matches the Rfam family "Bacterial small subunit ribosomal RNA", at positions 521 to 916 of the family's 1533-position model. The record is from RNAcentral.
UAAGACGAACCGAGCGAACGUUGUUCGGAAUAACUGGGCUUAAAGGGCGCGUAGGCGGGCUGUCAAGUCUGGGGUGAAAUCCCGCGGCUCAACCGUGGAACUGCCUCAGAUACUGACGGUCUCGAGGGAGGUAGGGGCGAGCGGAACUGUGAGUGGAGCGGUGAAAUGCGUUGAUAUUCACAGGAACUCCGGUGGCGAAGGCGGCUCGCUGGACCUCUUCUGACGCUGAGGCGCGAAAGCCAGGGGAGCAAACGGGAUUAGAUACCCCGGUAGUCCUGGCCCUAAACGUUGGGUACUAGGUAGUAGACUAGACAUGGGUUUACUGCCGAAGCAAAAGUGCUAAGUACCCCGCCUGGGGAGUAUGGUCGCAAGGCUGAAACUCAAAUGAAUUGACGG